RNAcentral lists this ribosomal RNA (1346 nucleotides) under uncultured bacterium. RNAcentral's name for it is "bacterial SSU rRNA". It matches the Rfam family "Bacterial small subunit ribosomal RNA", at positions 28 to 1381 of the family's 1533-position model. The record is from RNAcentral.
GACGAACGCUGGCGGCGUGCUUAACACAUGCAAGUCGAACGGAAAGGCCCUGCUUUUGUGGGGUGCUCGAGUGGCGAACGGGUGAGUAACACGUGAGUAACCUGCCCUUGACUUUGGGAUAACUUCAGGAAACUGGGGCUAAUACCGGAUAGGAGCUCCUGCUGCAUGGUGGGGGUUGGAAAGUUUCGGCGGUUGGGGAUGGACUCGCGGCUUAUCAGCUUGUUGGUGGGGUAGUGGCUUACCAAGGCUUUGACGGGUAGCCGGCCUGAGAGGGUGACCGGCCACAUUGGGACUGAGAUACGGCCCAGACUCCUACGGGAGGCAGCAGUGGGGAAUAUUGCACAAUGGGCGGAAGCCUGAUGCAGCAACGCCGCGUGCGGGAUGACGGCCUUCGGGUUGUAAACCGCUUUCGCCUGUGACGAAGCGUGAGUGACGGUAAUGGGUAAAGAAGCACCGGCUAACUACGUGCCAGCAGCCGCGGUGAUACGUAGGGUGCGAGCGUUGUCCGGAUUUAUUGGGCGUAAAGGGCUCGUAGGUGGUUGAUCGCGUCGGAAGUGUAAUCUUGGGGCUUAACCCUGAGCGUGCUUUCGAUACGGGUUGACUUGAGGAAGGUAGGGGAGAAUGGAAUUCCUGGUGGAGCGGUGGAAUGCGCAGAUAUCAGGAGGAACACCAGUGGCGAAGGUGGUUCUCUGGGCCUUUCCUGACGCUGAGGAGCGAAAGCGUGGGGAGCGAACAGGCUUAGAUACCCUGGUAGUCCACGCUGUAAACGGUGGGUACUAGGUGUGGGGUCCAUUCCACGGGUUCCGUGCCGUAGCUAACGCUUUAAGUACCCCGCCUGGGGAGUACGGCCGCAAGGCUAAAACUCAAAGGAAUUGACGGGGCCCCGCACAAGCGGCGGAGCAUGCGGAUUAAUUCGAUGCAACGCGUAGAACCUUACCUGGGUUUGACAUGGAUCGGGAGUGCCCAGAGAUGGGUGUGCCUCUUUUGGGGUCGGUUCACAGGUGGUGCAUGGCUGUCGUCAGCUCGUGUCGUGAGAUGUUGGGUUAAGUCCCGCAACGAGCGCAACCCUUGUUCACUGUUGCCAGCACGUUAUGGUGGGGACUCAGUGGAGACCGCCGGGGUCAACUCGGAGGAAGGUGGGGAUGACGUCAAGUCAUCAUGCCCCUUAUGUCCAGGGCUUCACGCAUGCUACAAUGGCUGGUACAGAGAGUGGCGAGCCUGUGAGGGUGAGCGAAUCUCGGAAAGCCGGUCUCAGUUCGGAUUGGGGUCUGCAACUCGACCUCAUGAAGUCGGAGUCGCUAGUAAUCGCAGAUCAGCAACGCUGCGGUGAAUACGUUCCCGGGGCU